Molecule: ribosomal RNA, 465 nt
Filed under: uncultured bacterium
Lineage: Bacteria
Description: bacterial SSU rRNA
Rfam family: Bacterial small subunit ribosomal RNA
Source: RNAcentral
CCUACGGGACGCAGCAGUGGGGAAUAUUGCACAAUGGGCGCAAGCCUGAUGCAGCCAUGCCGCGUGUGUGAGGAAGGCCUUCGGGUUGUAAAGCACUUUCAGCGAGGAGGAAGGUGGUGAACUUAAUACGUUCAUCAAUUGACGUUACUCGCAGAAGAAGCACCGGCUAACUCCGUGCCAGCAGCCGCGGUAAUACGGAGGGUGCAAGCGUUAAUCGGAAUUACUGGGCGUAAAGCGCACGCAGGCGGUUUGUUAAGUUAGAUGUGAAAUCCCCGGGCUCAACCUGGGAACUGCAUAUGAAACUGGCAAGCUAGAGUCUCGUAGAGGGGGGUAGGAUUCCAGGUGUAGCGGUGAAAUGCGUAGAGAUCUGGAGGAAUACCGGUGGCGAAGGCGGCCCCCUGGACGAAGACUGACGCUCAGGUGCGAAAGCGUGGGGAGCAAACAGGAUUAGAUACCCCAGUAGUC